UUGUUGGCUAUUGGCUGUCGGAUGUUGGAUGUCGGGUGGUGGAGCUGUCGUUGCUGUUUCACACUUUAAAUUUCAGUCGUUUGGCUUGUCACUGUUGUUGUUGGUGUUGUAAAUGCUGUCGUGGGCUUUGGCAUAUACCUAAGCGAUGAAUUUAGCACAGCGAAUAUCCAAUCACUUAUCCGAUAAUUGCAACUUUUUAUUUUGUUUUGAUUCGGAAAUAGUACUGAAUUCUGUAUACGAUCGAUUCUACGUUACCGAAGCACCAAGAUUUAUACAUAUACGGCCACAGACUGUUACUUCAGCAGCAUUCCCC
Molecule: long non-coding RNA, 313 nt
Organism: Anastrepha ludens (Mexican fruit fly)
Lineage: Eukaryota; Metazoa; Arthropoda; Insecta; Diptera; Tephritidae
Exons: 3
Source: RefSeq, a predicted model, not a curated record